This 1377-nucleotide long non-coding RNA is filed under the name Lynx pardinus (Iberian lynx). Lineage: Eukaryota; Metazoa; Chordata; Mammalia; Carnivora; Felidae. The record is from RNAcentral.
UAUGCAGAAAGGCAGGAAACUUUAUUGAAUCGUCUUUUCUUUUUAGCAGAGAAGCUGAGAAAUCAGAGUAACCAGAUAAGGGAGAAGGGGAGGUGCCCAGGGAGAGAAGCGCAGAGCGCCUGCCCUCGGGAGAGCCCCGGGGGGCCGGUGUCCUGAGCGUCCUGCGGUCCCUCCCUCUCUCCUGCAGGGACCCGUCAUCUCUCUCCUCUGGGUGCUGAAGACAGAGAGAGAGGAGGCCAGGUGGAUUUAAGGCUUACGGGUGUCGGAAAUGCGGCGACUGGGAGGGGAGGCAGUGGUGCCAGUGACGCUGGUGCUUCCUGAGAAACAGAGGGGGCAAGAGACACUCAGGCUGGAGAAGACCCACCUCAGCAGGUCAGGGCCCCCCAGGAGGGCCCCAAGCCCCCUCACUGGUCAGGCUGGGCGUUAGCUGAUAGGGAUUCUCAUGUUAUUGUCCCCCAAGGUGGGGAAGCCUCCAAAGCCUCCCAGUGGCUCCAUGGGGCAGAGCCAGCUAUUCUGAAAAGAAACAGACAAGCAAAUGACCACGUCCACCAUAACCCCCUCCCUCCGUCCACUGGGGAGUCUGGCACUGCCUCCACCCCACCCCCCCCCCAGGGCAGCGAGCAGGAGCCGACUCGCCUCUCCCACCGGGUUGUUUCCUUACCUCCUGAGGAGGGUAAGCCAGCCAUCCUGGGAGAGAGAAGAGGAGCGGCGUGAGCACAAAUCACCCAAGGACAGCUGCUCGCUCAUCUGCCCUUGGAUCGAGCGACUCAGAUCACUGAGAGGCCCCCAAGCUGGGCUUCCUUACCAACUGUGCCCCAGCCCAAGGGCCACCACAGGUAACUGGCAGGCCUAUGGGACCUCAGGAGGACAUAGUACCGGCCCCAAAUCCGGGACAUCUGCCAGAUCUUUUGUCCUCCCUCUGGUUCCUUCGAAACCUACACCCUACUCCCGCUGAGCCCACAAGGACAGCCUGGUCCCUGCAAAUGGUCUGAAGGCAGUGAAAUCGCCAUUUUUAUCGCUUUGUUUAGCCGACCUGAACCCAAGGCAAUAUUCUUCCGAUAUGAGCCGUUCUGUCCAUGGCCCCUAUUCCUGCCAGUCUAAUCCAAAGGCCCAAAUUGGAAAGCUUAAAGGUAUUGACCCUGCAGGCCACUGAGGAAAUCCCCCCACAGUCUGAUUCAAGAAAACAGGAAGCCCUGGUCCUGGAUCCCCAUCCAGUCAGUUUAAGCUCAGAAGGUCCCCUUCCAUAUGGAACAUGAGGACCUGAUCCUUAAAGCCUUGCCUGUUCGAAUGUCCAAGGGUCCUGUGGUCACUUUCCCAAGAGAGAGGCUUGAGAGGGCCUACCUGGCGUCCUGGCCCUCCAGAAGGCUGCGGUAGGUG